This 406-nucleotide ribosomal RNA is filed under the name uncultured bacterium. Its description in RNAcentral is "partial 16S ribosomal RNA". It matches the Rfam family "Bacterial small subunit ribosomal RNA", at positions 29 to 526 of the family's 1533-position model. The record is from RNAcentral.
AUUGAACGCUGGCGGCAGGCCUAACACAUGCAAGUCGAACGUGUGGCGGACGGGUGUGUAACGUCUGGGAAACUGCCCGAUGGAGGGGGAUAACUACUGGAACCGGUAGUUAAUACCGCAUACCAUCAGAUGUGCCCAGAUGGGAUUAGCUAGUGGGUGGGGUAACGGCUCACAAAGACGACGAUCCCUAGCUGGUCUGAGAGGAUGACCAGCAACACGGGAACGGGGAAACGGUCCGGAUGCCAGCGGGAGGCGGCGGAGGGGAAUAUUGCACAAUGGGCGCAAGCCUGAUGCAGCCAUGCCGCGUGGAUGAAGAAGGUCUUCGGGUGGUAAAGUACUUUCUGCGGGGAGGCGUUACCCGCAGAAGAAGCACCGGCUAACUCCGUGCCAGCAGCCGCGGUAAUAC